GAGUUUGAUCGUGGCUCAGAGCGAACGCUGGCGGCGUGCCUAACACAUGCAAGUCGAACGUGAAAGGGAGCAAUCCUGAGUAAAGUGGCGUACGGGUGAGUAACGCGUAGGUAAUCUACCCCAGAGUCUGGAAUAACCUGCCGAAAGGCGGGCUAAUACUGGAUAGAGCGACGGAAUCCGUAAUUGGGUUUUUCGGGAAAGGGAGCUCGCAAGAGCCUUUGCUUUGGGAUGAGCCUGCGUCUCAUUAGCUAGUUGGUGGGGUAAAGGCCCACCAAGGCUGUGAUGGGUAGCUGGUCUGAGAGGAUGAUCAGCCACACUGGAACUGAAACACGGUCCAGACUCCUACGGGAGGCAGCAGUGGGGAAUAUUGGACAAUGGGGGCAACCCUGAUCCAGCAAUGCCGCGUGAGUGAUGAAGGCCUUAGGGUUGUAAAGCUCUUUUGGCGGGGCGAUGAUGACGGUACCCGCAGAAUAAGCCCCGGCUAACUUCGUGCCAGCCGCCGCAGUAAU
RNAcentral lists this ribosomal RNA (509 nucleotides) under uncultured Alphaproteobacteria bacterium. RNAcentral's name for it is "bacterial SSU rRNA". It matches the Rfam family "Bacterial small subunit ribosomal RNA", at positions 9 to 524 of the family's 1533-position model. The record is from RNAcentral. Lineage: Bacteria; Pseudomonadati; Pseudomonadota; Alphaproteobacteria.